AUAUCCCUCCAUGGGGAGGGACAGCGACAAAACUUGUUUUGUCUCUGGGUGAGGAC
Molecule: non-coding RNA, 56 nt
Filed under: unclassified sequences
Also listed under: 1 other name
Description: Whalefall-1 RNA
Rfam family: Whalefall-1 RNA
Source: RNAcentral